GAUGAACGCUAGCGGGAGGCUUAAUACAUGCAAGUCGAGCGGCAAGUUUUGAUAGCAAUAUUGGAACCUAGAGCGGCGCACGGGUGAGUAACGCGUACAUGACCUGCCCUAUACUGGGGGAUAGUCUUGGGAAACUGAGAAUAAUCCCGCAUGUGAUUAGAAUGCUGCAUGGCAAAUUAAUUAAAGCUGAGGCGGUAUAGGAUGGGUGUGCGUCUGAUUAGCUAGUUGGUAGUGUAACGGACUACCAAGGCGAUGAUCAGUAGGGGGCGUGAGAGCGUGACCCCCCACACGGUACGUGAGACACGGACCCGACUCCUACGGGAGGCAGCAGUAAGGAAUAUUGGUCAAUGGAGGGAACUCUGAACCAGCCAUCCCGCGUGAAGGAUGAAGGGGCGUCUGCCUUGUAAACUUCUUUUGUCAUGGGACGAAAAAACUUAAUUUAUUAAGGACUGACGGUACCAUGAGAAUAAGCACCGGCUAACUCCGUGCCAGCAGCCG
RNAcentral lists this ribosomal RNA (498 nucleotides) under uncultured bacterium. RNAcentral's name for it is "bacterial SSU rRNA". It matches the Rfam family "Bacterial small subunit ribosomal RNA", at positions 28 to 517 of the family's 1533-position model. The record is from RNAcentral.